UACGGGGGGGGCAAGCGUUGUUCGGAAUUACUGGGCGUAAAGGGCUCGUAGGCGGCCAACUAAGUCGGAUGUGAAAUCCCCAGGCUUAACCUGGGAACUGCAUCUGAUACUGGAUGGCUUGAAUCCGGGAGAGGGAUGCAGAAUUCCAGGUGUAGCGGUGAAAUGCGUAGAGAUCUGGAGGAACACCGAUGGCGAAGGCAGCCUUCUGGGCCAACACUGACACUCAUGCACGAAAGCGUGGGGAGCAAACAGG
RNAcentral lists this ribosomal RNA (253 nucleotides) under uncultured bacterium. RNAcentral describes it as "partial 16S ribosomal RNA". It matches the Rfam family "Bacterial small subunit ribosomal RNA", at positions 524 to 776 of the family's 1533-position model. The record is from RNAcentral.